Molecule: RNA transcript, 6259 nt
Organism: Pan troglodytes (chimpanzee)
Lineage: Eukaryota; Metazoa; Chordata; Mammalia; Primates; Hominidae
Gene: CASP1
Gene name: caspase 1
Exons: 7
Source: RefSeq, a predicted model, not a curated record
CACAGGCAAUUUCUGCUUUCUUCCAUGCUACAAAUCCUCCCAGUGGCAAGGAGCACAAGUUUGUGCUGCCAUCGGAUUAAGUCAUUGGCAAAGUAAAGAUAAAACACCAUGAGAGGUUGGGCAUGGUGGCUCACAUCUAUAAUCCCAGCACUUUGGGAGGCCGAGGUGGGCAGAUUACGAGGUCAGGAGUUUGAGACCAGUCUGGUGAACAUAGUGAAACCCCAUCUCUAGUAAAAAUACAAAAAAUUAGCCAGGUGUGGUGGUGCCUGUAAUUCCAGCUACUUGGGAGGCUGAGGCAGGAGAAUCACAUGAACCCGGGAGGCGGAGAUGGCGCCAUUGCACUCCAGUGGGGUUACAGUGUGAGACUCUGUCAAAAAAUAAAAAAUAAAAAUAAAAAACUAUGUCCUCCUACACAGUGAGUUCUAGUCAAACCCGAACACAUUUAACCCUUCACCUAGAGCACAGGAAAUAAAACUGGUAGCCCACAUGUCAAAAGGUGGAUGUUUUUCUAACUCUGGGUCUUUAAUCUCCAAAAAUAUUAAGGUAACAAAUCAGGAGAAUUUUUGGUAAAGAAUUUGAUAAACGUAACAUACCGUUUGCAUUUUGCAAUUAGCCCACCUUUCAUCAAAUAGAUUUAUAAAAUAAAUUAGCCACAUUGAGUUUGUUUCUGGGAUAAGCAAUUGAACAUGUGAUUGCAAAGGCAGAGACCUUUUCUGGCCUUCCCUGGCUCCUCUGUCUAAAGUUCAUGAGUCCUGCAAUAUUUUGUCUCCUACUUUGCCAAUUUUUUUUUUAUCAUUCUCAUCACUUGCUACAUUUGAACAGUCUGAAUAUUCCGGUUACAUAUUACAUACCAGGUGUAUUAGUCUGUCCUCAUGCUGCUAACAAAGACAUACCCAAGACUGGGUACUUUAUAAAGAAAAAAAGAGGUUUAAUGGGCUCAUAGUUCCACAUGGCUUGGGAGGCCUCACAAUCAUGGUGGAAGGCAAAGGAGGAGCAAGGACACAUCUUCCAUGGAAGCAGACAAAAAGGCAUGUGCAGGGGAACUCCCCUUUAUGAAGCCAUCAGAUCUCAUGAGACUUUUUCACUAUCAUGAGAACAACAUGGGAAAAACCCACCUCCAUGAUUCAAUUACCUCCCACCAGGUGCCUCCCAUGACACCAGGGGAUUAUUACAAUUUAAGGUGAGGUUUUGGUGGGGACACAGAGCCAAACUCUGUCAUUCUGCCCCUGGCCUCUCCUAAAUGUCAUGUGCUCACAUUUCAAAACCAAUCCUGCCUUCCAACUGUUCCUCAAAGUCUUCGCUCAUUCCAGCAUUAACCCAAAAGUCCAAGUCCAAAGUCUUCUCUAAGACAAGGCAAGUCCCUUCCACCUAUGAGCCUGUAAAAUCAAAAGCAAGUUAGUUACUUCCUAGAUACAAUGGGGAUACAGGCAUUGGGUAAAUACACCCAUUCCAAAUGGGAGAAAUUGGCCAAAGGAAGGGGCUACAUUCCCCAAGUGAGGCCAAUAUCCAGUAGGGCAGCCAAAUCUUAAAGCUUCAAAAUGAUCUUUGACUCCAUGUCUCAUAUCUCGGUCAUGCUGAUGCAAGAGUCGGGGUCCCAUGGCCUUGGGCAGCUCCACCCUUGUGGCUUUGCAGUGUACAGCAUCCCUCCUAGCUGCUUUCAUGGGUUGGCAUUGAGUGCCUGACUAUUCCAGGUGCAUGGCGCAAGCUGUUGGUGGAUCUACCAUUUUAGGAUCUGGAGGAUGGUGGCCCUUUACUCAUGGCUCCACUAGGCAGUGCCCCAGUGAGGACUCUGUGUGGGAGCUCACACCCCACAUUUCCCUUCUGCAUUGCCCUAGUAGAAGUUCUUCAUGAGGGUCCCACCCCUGCAGCAAACUUCUGCCUGGACAUCCAAGCAUUUCCAUACAUCCUCUGAAAUCUAGGCAGAGGUUCCCAAACCUCAAUUCUUGACUUCUGUGCCCCUACAGGCUCCACACCACAUGGAAGCUGCCAAGGCUUGGGGCUUGCACCCUUUGAAGUCACAGCCCGAGCUAUUUCUUGGCCCCUUUUAGCCAUGGCUUCAGUGGCCCGGGAAGAAGGGCACUAAGUCUUUACGCUGCAUACAGCAGAAGGGCCCUGUGCUUACCCCAUGAAAACAUUUUUUUCCCUCUUAGGUCUCCAGUCCUGUGAUAGGAGGGGCUGCCUGGAAGGUCUCUGACAUACUCUGGAGACAUAUUCCCCAUUGUCUUGGAGAUUAAUGUCUUAGAGAUUAACAUUUGCCUCCUCGUUACUUCUGCAAAUUUCUACAGUUGGCUUGAAUUUCUCCUCAGAAAGUGGGUUUUGCUUUCCUAGCACAUCAUCUGGCUGCGAAUGUUUCAAACUUUUAUGCUCUGCUUCCCUUUUAAACAUAAGUUCCAAUUCCAAACCAUAUCUUUGCAAAUACAUAAAAAUGAAUGCUUUUAACAGCACUCAAAUCACUUCUGGAAUGCUUUGCUACUUAGAAAUUUCUUCUGCCAGAUGCCCUAAAUCAUCUCUCUCAAGUUCAAAGUUCCACAGAUCUCUAGGGCAGGGGCAAGAUGCCACCAAUCUCUUCACUAAAACACAGCAACAGUCAUUUUUAUUCCACUUCCCAACAAGUUCCUAUCUUCAUUCGAGAUGAGCAGCAUUUAGUCAAAGCCAUUCAACAAGUCUCUAGAAAGUUCCAGAUUCUAUUUUCCUAUCUUUCUCUGAGCCCUAAGAACUGUUCCAACCUCUGCAUUUUACCCAGUUCCAACAUCGCUUCCACAUUUUUGGAGAUCUUUACAGCAGCACUCCAUUACUCAGUAUAAAUUUACUGCAUUAGUCAUUUCUCACACUGCUAAUAAAGACAUACUCAAGGCUGGGUAAUUAUAUAGAACAAAAAAGAGAUUUAAUAGACUCACAGUUCCACAUGGCUGGGGAGGCCUCAGAAUCAUGGCAAAAGGCAAAAGAGGAGCAAGGACACGUCUUACAUGGGUGCAGGCAAGAGGGUAUGAGCAGAGGAAUUCCCUUUUAUAAAACCAUCGGAUCUCAUGAGACAUUCAUUAUCAGGAGAACAGCAUGGAAAAAAAAACAGCACCCAUGAUUCAAUUACAUCCCACCAGAUACCUCCCAUAACACAUGAGGAUUAUUACAAUUCAUGGUGAGAUUUGAGUAGGGAAACAGAGACAGACCAUAUCACCAGCCUUCAUGUUUUUCUUUCCCUCUUGAAUGUGAGACCAAAGGGGAAAGGACCAUGAUAUGUUUUGACUGAACCUCUGGCACCUAGAGCAACGUCGUCCAUAUAUGUUUGCUAAAUGAAUGACUAGAUGCACUGCUUGAGGAUUCUAACAAAAGAUAAACUUAGCUAGAUAAUCUGCAAAUAAUCAUCCUUGAUUAUUUUUCUAACCUUAAACAUUUGUAUUAAUUAUAGUAAUAUCACUCAUUAUUUGCUUACCAUUUGCCAGGCUAUGUUCCAUGCAUUUUCCACAUUUUCUCUCACUUAAUGCUCAAAACUGUGUAGGUACAUACUGUUAAUAAAAUUAUUUCACAUACAGAGGAACCAAUGCAUAGGGAAGUUCAUUAUCUUGCCAAGGAAGGGAAGUUUAAAAUGCUAAGUUCAACAUUCUCAUUCCAGAGCCUAUGCUCUGGGCCUCUACAAUACAAUUUCCCUCAAAAAUAAACCCUCCAGGAUGGGUGGGUGGCUCAUGCCUGUAAUCCUAGCAAUUUGGGAGACCAAGGUGGGCACAUUGCUUGAGCCUGGGAGCUAAAGACAAGCCUAGGAAACACAAGGAGACCCUGUCUUUACAAGAGAUACAAAUAUUAGCUGGCCAUGGUGGCAUGUGCCAGUAAUUGCAGCUACUCGGGAGGCUGAGUUGGAAGAAUCAUUUGAGCCUGGGAAGUGGAGGCUGCAGUGAGCCAAGGUCAAAUAACUGCAUUCCGGCCUGCACGACAGAAUGAUACCGUGUAUCCGAAAAAAAAAAAAAAAAAAAAAAAGAAAGAAAAAAGCAAGGUGAAAAGAAGGACAUUAAAUAAGAAAAGCUUUAAUUCUGGUGAAAAAUGUUUCUAUUUCUUAAAGCAAAAAUGUUUCCCAGGGACAUACAUUACCCACAACUUUCCCAAGAGCUAUGAGGUGGGGUCAGGGGAACAGUGGUUCACAUACUCCGAAGGUUGUGUUACUUUUCUCCGUCAAGCUUUCUAAUGAUUGAGAAACUCUUCACUGUGUGAAUUUAAUUGUACACAUACUUUUUCAAUCCUGUCUUACUCUCCAAGCCCCAUUCCCCUCCUACCCUGAUCUAUCCAAGGGCUGGUGAAGAAAAUUUCCCAUGGAUACACUACCUGAUGCAGGCUACAGUUCUGAUUCUUUAAUGGGAAGAAAAAUAAAGACAUGCAUAUGCAUGCACAGUGAGUAUUUCCCAAUACGUGUACAGGCCCUGCCAAAAAGGAAGGCGAAGCAUACUUUCAGUUUCAGUCACACAAGAAGGUAGGAGAGAAAAGCCAUGGCUGACAAGGUCCUGAAGGAGAAGAGAAAGCUGUUUAUCCGUUCCAUGGGUGAAGGUACAAUAAAUGGCUUACUGGAUGAAUUACUACAGACAAGGGUGCUGAACCAGGAAGAGAUGGAGAAAGUAAAACGUGAAAAUGCUACAGCUAUGGAUAAGACUCGAGCUUUGAUUGACUCCGUUAUUCCGAAAGGGGCACAGGCAUGCCAAAUUUGCAUCACAUACAUUUGUGAAGAAGACAAUUACCUGGCAGGGACGCUGGGACUCUCAGCAGAUUUAUCCAAUAAUGGACAAGUCAAGCCGCACACGCCUUGCUCUCAUUAUCUGCAAUGAAGAAUUUGACACUAUUCCUAGAAGAACUGGAGCUGAGGUUGACAUCACAGGCAUGACAAUGCUGCUACAAAAUCUGGGGUACAGCGUAGAUGUGAAAAAAAAUCUCACCGCUUCGGACAUGACUACAGAGCUGAAGGCAUUUGCACACCGCCCAGAGCACAAGACCUCUGACAGCACGUUCCUGGUGUUCAUGUCUCAUGGUAUUCGGGAAGGCAUUUGUGGGAAGAAAUACUCUGAGCAAGUCCCAGAUGUGUUACAACUCAAUGCAAUCUUUAACAUGUUGAAUACCAAGAACUGCCCAAGUCUGAAGGACAAACCGAAGGUGAUCAUCAUCCAGGCCUGCCGUGGUGACAGCCCUGGUGUGGUGUGGUUUAAAGAUUCAGUAGGAGUUUCUGGAAACCUAUCUUUACCAACUACAGAAGAGUUUGAGGAUGAUGCUAUUAAGAAAGCCCACAUAGAGAAGGAUUUUAUCGCUUUCUGCUCUUCCACACCAGAUAAUGUUUCUUGGAGACAUCCCACAAUGGGCUCUGUUUUUAUUGGAAGACUCAUUGAACAUAUGCAAGAAUAUGCCUGUUCCUGUGAUGUGGAGGAAAUUUUCCGCAAGGUUCGAUUUUCAUUUGAGCAGCCAGAUGGUAGAGCGCAGAUGCCCACCACUGAAAGAGUGACUUUGACAAGAUGUUUCUACCUCUUCCCAGGACAUUAAAAUGAGGAAACUCUAUGAAUGUCUGUGGGCAGGUACAUGUGUAUGGUCGGGAGUAUGGGAAGGUUGAGGAAAGGGUACUGAAAGUCCAUUUUAGUCAAGAACUCUAGGUCUACAGGCUGAGAAUCCUUAAUCCAAAAAUUUGAAUUUUGAAAUGCUCUAAAAUCCAACACUGUGUGAGCGCCCACAUGAUAUUCAAAGGAAAUGUUUAUUGAAACAUUUCAAAUUAUAGGUUUUUGGAUUAGGGAUGCUAAACCAGUAAGUAUACUGCUGAAUUCCAAUAUACAAAAAUAUCUGAAAUUUGAAAUACUUCUGGUAGCAUGCAUUUUGGAUAAGGGAUAAUCAAGCCAUAUACAGAAAAUACUGAAGUAAUGCCUUUCUUCUGGUCAGUGCAGAGCACGUUGCUCUUCUCCCAAAGUUCUUCAUUUAGACCCCUUUUGAGAUUCAUCUGAUAUUGGCCUAGAAGUGGCCGUAAGACUACGAACCCUCACUUUUGGAUGUUUCUCUCCUUCGCCUCAGCAGGGUAUAUUUAAACAUAGCAUGCGGUCUUUCCUUUUAAAAUUGUGUAUGUUCCCAUUGGUGGUAUAACUUUAUAACUUGCAUGUCUUUAACAAAAUUCUUUCCUAUGUUUUUUUUUUUUAAUUAUUUCUUUUUCUCAUAGGAAGUGAAGAGAUCCUUCUGUAAAGGUUUUUGGAAUUAUGUCUGCUGAAUAAUAAACUUUUUUGAAAUAAUAAAUCUGGUAGAAAAAUGAAAA